AGACGACGAGGUAGAUAGGGCAGAGGUGGAAGUGCAGUAAUGCAUGGAGCUGACUGUUACUAAUCGGGUGAGGGCUUGACCAAG
RNAcentral lists this ribosomal RNA (84 nucleotides) under Ruminococcus sp. AF42-9BH. RNAcentral's name for it is "partial 23S ribosomal RNA". It matches the Rfam family "Bacterial large subunit ribosomal RNA", at positions 2842 to 2925 of the family's 2925-position model. The record is from RNAcentral. Lineage: Bacteria; Bacillati; Bacillota; Clostridia; Eubacteriales; Oscillospiraceae.